Molecule: ribosomal RNA, 1386 nt
Filed under: uncultured bacterium
Lineage: Bacteria
Description: bacterial SSU rRNA
Rfam family: Bacterial small subunit ribosomal RNA
Source: RNAcentral
AGAGUUUGAUCCUGGCUCAGGAUGAACGCUGGCGGCAUGCCUAAUACAUGCAAGUCGAACGAGGGUCCUUCGGGACUCGAGUGGCGAACGGGUGAGUAACACGUAGGGAACCUGCCCGUGCGACCGGGAGAACUUUCGGAAACGGAAGCUGAUACCGGAUAGGGACAGAGACGGCAUCGACUCUGUGUUAAAGGAGCUGAAAGGCUCCGCGCACGGAUGGACCUGCGGUGCAUUAGCUGGUUGGUGAGGUAACGGCCCACCAAGGCGACGAUGCAUAGCCGGCCUGAGAGGGCGGACGGCCACACUGGGACUGAGACACGGCCCAGACUCCUACGGGAGGCAGCAGUAGGGAAUUUUCGUCAAUGGGCGCAAGCCUGAACGAGCAAUGCCGCGUGAACGAGGAAGGUCUUCGGAUCGUAAAGUUCUGUUGAAGGGGAAAAAGAGCGGAGAGAGGAAAUGGUCUCCGAUUGAUAUUACCCUUCGAGGAAGUCACGGCUAACUACGUGCCAGCAGCCGCGGUAAUACGUAGGUGGCGAGCGUUACCCGGAAUGAUUGGGCGUAAAGGGUGCGUAGGCGGCCUGCUAAGUCUGGAGUGAAAGGUACCGGCUCAACCGGUACAGGCUCUGGAAACUGGCGGGCUAGAGAGCAGGAGAGGGCGGUGGAACUCCAUGUGUAGCGGUAAAAUGCGUAGAUAUAUGGAAGAACACCAGUGGCGAAGGCGGCCGCCUGGCCUGUUACUGACGCUGAGGCACGAAAGCGUGGGGAGCAAAUAGGAUUAGAUACCCUAGUAGUCCACGCCGUAAACGAUGAGGACCAAGUGUUGGGGAAGACCCAGUGCUGCAGUUAACGCAGUGAGUCCUCCGCCUGGGGAGUAUGCACGCAAGUGUGAAACUCAAAGGAAUUGACGGGGGCCCGCACAAGCGGUGGAGUAUGUGGUUUAAUUCGAAGCAACGCGAAGAACCUUACCAGGCCUUGACAUAGGGUGCGAAGCUAUGGAGACAUAGUGGAGGUAAACAUCCAUACAGGUGGUGCAUGGUUGUCGUCAGCUCGUGUCGUGAGAUGUUCAGUUAAGUCUGGCAACGAGCGCAACCCUCGUGAUGUGUUACCAAUAUCGAGUUAGGGACUCACAUCAGACUGCCGGUGAGAAACCGGAGGAAGGCGGGGAUGACGUCAAAUCAUCAUGCCCCUUAUGGCCUGGGCUACACACGUACUACAAUGGCGGCGACAGAGGGCAGCGAGCCUGCGAAGGCAAGCGAAUCCCAAAAAAGCCGCCCCAGUUCGGAUUGCAGCCUGCAACUCGGCUGCAUGAAGCCGGAAUCGCUAGUAAUCGCGGAUCAGAACGCCGCGGUGAAUACGUUCCCGGGUCUUGCACACACCGCCCGUCAA